GUGACCUCAAAUCAGGUAGGACUACCCGCUGAACUUAAGCAUAUCAAUAAGCGGAGGAAAAGAAACUAACAAGGAUUCCCCUAGUAACUGCGAGUGAAGCGGGAAAAGCUCAAAUUUAAAAUCUGGCAGUCUUUGGCUGUCCGAGUUGUAAUCUAGAGAAGUGCUAUCCGCGCUGGACCGUGUACAAGUCUCCUGGAAUGGAGCGUCAUAGAGGGUGAGAAUCCCGUCUUUGACACGGACUACCAGGGCUUUGUGAUGUGCUCUCAAAGAGUCGAGUUGUUUGGGAAUGCAGCUCAAAAUGGGUGGUAAAUUCCAUCUAAAGCUAAAUAUUGGCGAGAGACCGAUAGCGAACAAGUACCGUGAGGGAAAGAUGAAAAGAACUUUGGAAAGAGAGUUAAACAGUACGUGAAAUUGCUGAAAGGGAAACGCUUGAAGUCAGUCGCGUUGUCCAGGGAUCAACCUUGCUUUUGCUUGGUGCACUUCCUGGUUGACGGGUCAGCAUCAAUUUUGACUGUUGGAAAAAGAUCAAGGGAAUGUGGCAUCUCUGGAUGUGUUAUAGCCCUUGGUUGCAUACAAUGGUUGGGAUUGAGGAACUCAGCACGCCGCAAGGCCGGGUUUAACCACGUACUGCUAGA
This 635-nucleotide ribosomal RNA is filed under the name Cortinarius clandestinus. RNAcentral's name for it is "eukaryotic LSU rRNA". It matches the Rfam family "Eukaryotic large subunit ribosomal RNA", at positions 1 to 623 of the family's 3401-position model. Lineage: Eukaryota; Fungi; Basidiomycota; Agaricomycetes; Agaricales; Cortinariaceae. The record is from RNAcentral.